This 99-nucleotide ribosomal RNA is filed under the name uncultured bacterium. RNAcentral's name for it is "partial 16S ribosomal RNA". It matches the Rfam family "Bacterial small subunit ribosomal RNA", at positions 1384 to 1482 of the family's 1533-position model. The record is from RNAcentral.
UACACACCGCCCGUCACACCAUGGGAGUUGGCUCUACCCGAAGACGGUGCGCUAACCGCAAGGAAGCAGCCGGCCACGGUCGGGUCAGCGACUGGGGUG